This is a long non-coding RNA of Oncorhynchus masou masou (cherry salmon), 13514 nucleotides long. RefSeq lists it as uncharacterized. The record is from RefSeq and is a predicted model, not a curated record. The transcript is spliced from 3 exons. NCBI's taxonomy places the organism in Eukaryota, Metazoa, Chordata, Actinopteri, Salmoniformes, Salmonidae.
UGGCUGGUUUGCAACACAGGAUGAUACUCCCAAGAACAGGAGAUUAUAAAAGGACAGUCCGGCAGCGCCGGACAGGCGGGAGACUCUGGCAGCGCCGGACAGGCGGGAGACUCUGGCAGCGCCGGAGUGAAGGGCGGCUCUGGCAGCUCCGGAGUGAAGGGAGAACCUGGAGGGAGGAGACGGAGAGACAGCCUGGUGCGUGGGGCUGCCACAUGACCAACCAGGGGAGACCUUGCAAUAAUAGGAGUGAUCAUGCAUGCAGCAAAUGACAUGCAUUCAAGUGAUGGGGUAAAAAAAAAUUACGUACAGCAUCAGUUGGGAGGAGAUGAAGAGGCAUACAGAUGGGCCAGAGAGGAUGUCAGCCACAGCCCUCUGCAUCUACCUGCGGGUAUGUGAGGACCUGGCAAUGGUGUGUGUGCAAGUUGGCCUGUGGAUCGCUCUGUGAAAACAGCAAAAGUAUGCUCUUGCACAGAGCAAUGAUCGAGGCAGCUGGCACCCCAUGGCCAUGAGCUUCUCUAAGCGGGACGGAAUAGAGAGGGAAGCCGUAGUUGGGGAGGCCAUUUGUGGCGUCCAUGAAGACCGUGACCUUAUCAUAGGCCAUGACGUUUUUCCUAAUUUCUUUUGUCAUCAGCACAAGGGCAAGGUUUUUGUUGUCGCUGUAUUGUUCAUGAAAUAGUUUCCACUGUGAUUUUUCUGAGACAUUGAUGGCAUCAUUUCUGGCCAUUUGUUGUCUCUGCAUCAUGGUGUUCCUGAUGUUUUGUAUGUCCCCUGGUGUCAAAGUACUCUCCCGUGUUCCAGUCACUUCCCACGUGCCUUGGCCCAAUUCUGUGCAAGUACCAGCAUCAUUGACGGUGUUACCCCCAAUACGCAGCCAGCUCUGCAGGUGGGUACGUAGCCAGCUCUCUUUCCUUCCUCAGGGUUGGGUGGAUCUGGCUGCAGUGUUGGUCUUGGGGAUCUGAGGGAUCAUGACUGUUGUGGAUGUCAUACAGCCUUUCUAUAACAACCAUGAAGUCUGUCCUGGACUGCAGAGUGAAGGAGAUAUAGGCGUUCCAUCCCACUCUUCUGAAACCUUUGCCAGUUUCAGAACAUCCUCUUGUACACUUGAAAAGGAAAUAGUUACCAGCCCUGGAAAGAAAGACAUGGCAGCCAAUAUAGUUCAAUAGUACCGUCACAGGAAACAACACAGCAAAACAGCUGCCUGCUGUCAGUUAUGCCUUUUAUUUCAAAAUGAAGACAUGGACAUGGAGCCAUGAUCCUAGAUCAGCACAUCUACUCUGCAAUGCUUUAUGAAGAAAGGACAAGAAUAUCACCUAAUUGCAUUUACAUCAUUGAUACCAACGAUUACAAAAUCCUGCAUGUCCUGUCCAAUUCUUUCGGAUAAACAUGAAGUGACUACGGGGUAGGGGUUGUUUCUGGACUGGGAUAUGAUGUGGACAAUUACAGUUUUAGCUAGGCAUAUUGUGAGGAGCAUACAGUGGGGGAGAUCAACUCAGGUCGCGCCCCUGACGUCUCGUGCUACACUCAGUAGUGUCUUAGGGUAGUCAUUUGAGGGUGUACUGACAUCUGAGCAGUGAGAGCUGUGCCUUGUCGGGAGGGGUGCAAUAAUGUAUGCUGCGAUAGCUCAUAUCUUGUCUGAGUGGCUGGGGAAGUUUGUUUUAUCUUGUUUACUGUGUGGUCAUGUGCUCCAACUAACCCACUCCUUCCUCUUUCUGCCAGAGGGCCUGAGGCCUUAGGACCACAUCUGAGCGCUGCUACUGCCUCCUUUUGGAUCUGCCUUCCUCUUUCCCCGCAACCAUCGGGACGCUAAACUACAACACCACCACAUAUGGGUGGCCCUUAUUCUGACGGCAAACCCUAUUCUCACGUACCUUCCUUUCUUUACUUUAUGAAAAGCCAUCUGACCAUAACUGUUUUGGUAGUUUUGUUAACUGUUUGGAGUGCAUAGGUUCUCACAAUUUGCCAAACCCAUUGAGAAAAUUGUAACAAACUUGUUUUUGACCACAUUCAGGCUCACCUUUUUGUUUAUUUUGUGUGUGGCGUUUUGGAAACUAUCAGAAAGCCUUUGGUUUAUGUCCUCCAGGUGUUUUUUUUUAUUUUUAGGAAUUGUGUGAUGUGAUUUAAAAAAAUAAACCAACAUGGACCUCAACCUUUGUAUCCCCUUUCACUGGGGUUUCGCCCAACACUAUUUGCUUGAUGAAUUCUGCCAUACUGGUGUUAGUGUCUGCCUACAACAUAACAUUACAAUGUGAUGUUUCGCUGCAGCAACACCAGAAACCAGCUACCUGCAUUUUUCCUCUGGACCAAAACUAACCCUGACAACCUGCACCUCCCUUCAAGAGGUGAGUGUGCCUUGUCUUAGAGAACAAAUUGAAACAGAAAAGGUUGGAACUGGCACAGAGGGUAAAUUAAUGUAUAUUUUUGGUAUUAACAAUCUGGGGAAUACAUAACCUGUUCAACUCAUUUAUCGAAAUGUACCUGAACAAGUACAGACAACUGAAAAACUUGACUUGAGCUCUAAGUUGUCAUUUAUGUAGAUACUAACCCAUACACACUUAUCUUUCCAUUAUUUCAGAAUAUAUUUUUGUUUUAACAGUAUAAUGGUAUAAGGAGUUUACUUUGACGUUAAUACUUACCUCAUAGGAAUGUUUUGUCUUGAGGUAGAUGUAGGUUUCUCUUUGGCCCCUUGCGACAGAUCACUGAGUCACCGAGGUGAUCACUGAGACGUCAAGCCUUUGUCUUCUUUACCACAGGGCCUGUGGUGAAGUAAGCAAAGGCUCCACCCGUUUCAGAUCCAGUGGCAUGUAUUCAUGGAUGCCAAGGGAAGACAGGCUUCCUCAAAAAAUUGACCAAGGAAAAAAGAAACGAACAUACAAAGUAAUGUAUCUUUCCUCUCUCUGUGUUUCAUGUCCACCAGGUGUUUAAAAAAACAAAAACAAUUGUGUUUCAUGGCAGGAAUUAGGAAUUGUGUUUCACGGCAGUGUAGCCUAGUGGUUAGAGCAUUGGACUAGUAACCAAAAGGUUGCAAGUUCAAAUCCCUGAGCUGACAAGGUACAAAAUCUGUCGUUCUGCCCCUGAACAGGUAGUUAACCCACUGUUCCUAGGCCGUCAUUGAAAAUAAGAAUUUGUUCUUAACUGACUUGCCUAGUGAAAUAAAGGUAAAAUAAAAUAAUUUCCCUUCAAUUCGCAAGAGGCUUAAUGUAUCACGCAGGAGAAAGCAUCUGAGUGAGCGAAACAGCGGCCCUCUGUCUCUGUUAGGAGCAUCUAUCUGAUCCAAACGAGUAUGACAAUGUUGCCGCCUGUAGCAUUGAAUGCAAGGGAAGCCAGUGAGAAUUUGGUCUCCCUUGAUAAGGUAUAAAAUUAUAGCUAAACUGAGUGAGCUCAACUGAAUGGUCCUGACACACCAAAAAAAAAACGUGUCAAGACCAGCUUGGGUUUGGCGUCUUCUAAUGGUGGCUCCUUGUGAGGAGACAGUGUUGCAGAGCUGGUCCGAGUCUGCUGAGUCAGUCAAAGCCAGUUCGUACUGUCACAGCUCAGGAUAUGACCCAGAUGUAGACACAGGAGGCGGAUAGUACAGUUCUCAUAAUAUUUAUUAUACAAGGGGACAAGCCGGGGCAGGUUGAGAGCAGGCAGAGGUCAGUAAUCCAGGGCAGAGUCAAUGAGUUACAGAACGGCAGUCAGGGUCAGGGCAGGCAAAAUGGUUGGAACCGGGAAGACUAGAAAACAGAAACUAGAAAGACUCAAACGGGAAAACACGCUGGUAAGACUUGACGGGGCAAGAUGAACUGGCAACAGACAAAUAGAAAACACUGGUAUAAAUACACAGGGGAUAAUGGGGACAAAUAGAGACACCUGGUGGGGGGUGGAGACAAGCACAAGACCGGUUAAACAGAUCAGGGCAUGACAAUUGGCUACUUUUUCCAUGACUGGACAAGACAAUAAUCUGUAGGCUAUGGGCUAUUCAUGUUAAAUUGGCAACAGGAUAGAUCGGAGGCUUGAGUAAAAAGCAGAUUAUACGCAAAACACAUUCAGUCUCCGGUGCAAGUUGACUGAAGUUUGCUAGAUGGGUUUGUGUCACGUCACACAGCCAGCCAAAUCAAACAUUUUCUUUGGUUACAAGUCAGUGAACGAGAAGGAAAGCUGCAGUCCGCAGUGCUCUGUCUGACUUGACCAUCUACGGUGGAGCAAUUUACUUCAUGGAAGGACAAAACUCCACCCCACCAAAACAAGCUGACAUAGCUUUUUAAACAGUUCUUGCACUAAAAAGGGAAUUAUCAUAAUUUUCACAGUAUCUCAUAAUGUGUAAAAUUAUGUUUUCAACUGCUCUGGAGCUUUAAGGAAAACAAGUGGGAUCUGACAUCAAAAUAAGACAAUUUGGGGUCCAAGGUUCCUUGAAGGAAUUUGCAUCUCUAGGCCCUCCCCACCCCCAUAUUCUUUAAAAAAAAGAAUGUUUUUUUUGCCAAAACCCCAAUAUGGCUGCCAUAAUAUUUGAUGGAGGUUAUAUCACCUGUAAAUACAACACUUAAGUACAACACUCAUGCCCAUAAUUAAUGUUUUGGUGUAAAUCUACUUUAUUCUGAAUCUCAAUAUGGCUAACAUGAUUACACUCAAACACCUUUGCCUGCUUAGAUGUUGCCCUUGUUUAUUUUGUAUUGUGUUAUUCUGUUUUUAAAAGGGUUUCAUACGGCUGUUGGUAAAGCUAGUGUGGUGGAAAUUCAAUAUUAAGUCAAUAUUAAAUUAAUCCCUUCAGUCCUCUUAUUUACUGCUCUACAAAAAAAGCUACAUAGCCAUGGGUUCAUAGGGUUGGUUCCUGUGCAUGACUGGCUGUUUCCCAAGAAACUCCUAUCUUAACUCCCAGAACAGAUGCUGGGCCUUCUGCCAAUUGGCCUGAGGAGGAGGUCACAGUCGCCUGCACAAUCCAAGAUAGAGUGAGAGGAGAUGCAUACUGUGUACAACUCAAGGCUCUCCCUUCAAACAAUUACAAUUUCCCUUACACUCAGUUCUGUAAUAACGAAUGUUACAUUUUAAGGUAAUCAUUAUAUUAUAGCUUAAACUAUCAACGGAGGUUCUAUCAAAACUAAUUAUAUUAAAAGUAAGCAAAAUCCACGCAUAAAACCACAGACACUUUCAAACCCUUCAUUCUGGGUUUUACAAUCUAACUAGUAACUGAUCCUUAUUUCAUAGCCUUUACACUUCUAAAACCAUUGCAGUGGUGGUUUAACUUAAGAAUUUUGCUUCAUACAGUUACACACAUGCUUCCUUACACGGAGGGAAAAUGUUAUGUUUGUGUGUAUCAGAUAAUACACAGAUUGUAUGUUUAGGAAAAAUACUGUUUUUCUAAUAACCAACUCUGUUGUGUUCAUUCAAGUGACUGAUUGAUUGUACACAAUGAUUGAUUGCACAUGGGAUAAAUCCCCACUAUCACUAUAUAAGACAUUUGGCAGUAUGUCCAGAACAUUACUCUGGAAACCAAAAGGAGUAUCUCAGUUUCAAGGUCUCAGCUUUGAGAGAAGAAGCCUUGUGAGGUAUCGGUCAGUCACAUGCAGGAACCAACAUUAAUAAUGAAUAAUGUAGAUCAUGCUUAAAUGACUUGUUUGUAUAGCGCUAUAUAAGAACUGAAUGGGAACGCCCUUUUCAUAGUUUUCAUCAAGCUUUGAUUGAGUUUGUGAACCUCUCCGGCCGUGAUAAUAAAGAUUGAUUCACUUACAUUGAGUUUAAGUCCAUAGUGGUGAAUUUCCAUAACAAUUUUGGCCUCACGAAUACAAAGGUUUAAUCUUCUCAACAUGAUCCAUCAGUGAAUGUCUGAGAGGGAACACUGAUGGCGCAUUCUUGGGAAGGCAUUAAGGGAAAUUCCCAUCUCACUAAAAAAGGAUGAGGACACGCCCGUAACAGACUUUCACUGAGGAACACAAUAUCUACAAGACCUAUAAGGACAACUCAACUGAUUUCAAUAAAUCAAUUUAAAUGAAUUUGCUUAAAAACCAAACGCCAUUUGAGAGGAUAGCGAUGGAUAUAGUGGGCUCACUACCCAAAUCCGCCAGAGGGCACCAAUACAUUCUGGUCAUUCUACGUAGAUUAUGCCACCCUCUACCAAGAAGCCAUUCCCAAAAUUAUUGCCACGGAAUUAAUGCUGCGGUUCACCAGGGUAGGGGUUCCAAAGGAGAUCCUUACUGACCAGGGACCCCCUUUAUGUCCAGCCUUAUGGCGGAACUUUGUAAAUUGUAGCAGGUGAAACAGUUGAGGACAUCGGUUUACCAUCCUCAGACGGCCGGGCUGGUUGAGAGAUUCAACCGCACCCUGAAGUCAAUGCUCAGGAAGGUAAUCGAUAAGAAUGGGAAAAACUGGCAUUGCAUGUUGCCGUAUCUGAUGUUUGCCAUUCGAGAGCAUCCCCAAGCCUCGCUGGGGUUUUCACCCUUUGAGCUGGUAUAUGGGAGGCACACCCGGGGAAUCUUAGACAUCGCCCGGGAACACCAAUCCACCCUGUAUACUAGUGCUAUAGAGCACGUCACGGCAAUGCAAGACAGGAUAGCCACAGUCAUGCCCAUUGUCAGAGAGCACAUGAGACAACCACAAGAGCACCAGCAGGCUACCCUGAGGGAAUUUCAACCAGGAGAUAAGGUGUUAGUGCUGGUCCCCACGAUAGAGUGCAAACUACUAGCCACAUGGAAAGAACCAUAUGAAGUACUGGAGAGAAUAGAAGAAGUUAGGAGAUGUAACCAAAGGUUACUGGCAAAUUCCCCUGACCCCCCCAGAGCCAGAGAAAAGACAGCCUUUGCAACCCCUGACGGUUUGUUUCAAUACACCGUCAUGCCAUCACGGGAACCCUGCCAAGUGUUACGUGGGGUUAGAGGAAACAGAGUAUCUGGGAUACACCGUGGGAUGAGGGUUAAUCAAACCGCAACGUAAGAUUGUGGAGGCCAUUGGAGGAUGGCCGAAACCAGUAACUAAGAAGCAGGUUCGAGCCUUCCUAGGGUUGAAUACCGGAGGUUCAUCCCAAGUUAUGCCACAGUGGCCGCCCCACUCACCGACAUGACUAGAGCCAGAGGGCCAAACAUGGUAAAAUGGGAUGAAAAGGGCCACCAAAGCAUUUAGAACAUUACAGGAGGCUCUCUGCUAUAAUCCGGUGCUGGUGGUACCAGACUUUGAGCGAGAGUUCGUGGUUCAGACAGAUGCCUCAAAGCUCAGAGCCAUGCUAUCCCAAGAGGUAGAAGGGGUGGAACACCCCAUCCUGUUUUUAAGCAGGAAGCUGAAACCACGGGAGGCCAACUACUCAGUCAUUGAGAAAGAGGCGCUGGCAGUAAAGUGGGAUCUAGAAAGCCUGAAAUACUACCUGCUAGGGUGCCACUUCACCGUCAUCAGUGACCAUGCCCCACACACUUGGAUGCAGAGGGCAAAAGAGAAAAACGCUCGGGUGAUGUGGUGGUUUUUGAGUCUCCAACAGUUUCACUUUGACUUGGUCAAAUCUAGGGUGGGAGAUGUGUGGCAAAGAAGGGGGUCGAGUGAUAAAUGGCAGAUAUGUGAGAGCAGAACUAAUAAACUGGCUCUGCCCUCUCACUAAAAUGGCCACCCCGAAAAGAACUACAGAUCACAAAAUGGCUGACCACCAAAACUACCAUUCCCAGAGGCAAGGGGAACGCUCAGAAGGUGGGGCGACCCAAAAAUAAGGGGUCAAGACAAACCAGGAAGAGAAAGAGGAGGGGCUGAAAGGAUCUGUAAACCAUAGAGAAAGACAAUAUAUAUCGUCUGGAUUUACCGUGUAUGAGCUGGACUGUUUGGACUUACCUGUUGGCGUUUGGACCUGGACCUACCGAGAACCCGGUUUGUGUACCGAACCCUGCUAUCAUUGACCUCUCCUGAGGCCUGGGUGGACCAGGAUGGAGAAACAAACACACAGGUACUAUCCUGUUUGAAAGAACUCUCAUUCUGGGGUGAUUUUGGGGACAGUUUCCUGCUUAAUUUGUGACAAACUCUCCUAAACUUGAAGAGGUUUGUCACAAGGGGUAAUAGUCUAGUUACAGUUUUAUAUUAUACAUUUCUACUUUUGUCAUAAAGUAGUUUUCAUUGCAAGUUAAAGCUUGCUGUUAGUUAGCUGAUGUUUGAUGGAUGGCUGGAUUGCUAGCUAACAUUUAACCUACUAUAUUUGGUUAACUUUAGCUAGCUAUGACAAUCGGUUUGUAUUGCUAGUACGCUAUGGUUUGGGAUUAUAGUUAAUUGUUUAGCGAGCUAACAUUAACGUUACAUGUCUAAACAAAAAACCCCAAGUUAAAGCUUGCUGUUAGCUAGCUAACAUUCAUUUAUGUGUAUGGACUUUGUGUAACGUGACCAUAGUGCUGUUUUCUCAGAAAGCCAUUUCGCAUUGCUAGUUACAGCCUAAUGUUAGCUAGCUAACAUUGACCCUAUAUUGUUAACUUUAGCUAGCUGUGACAUUCGAUUUGUAUUGCUAGCACUCUAUGGUUUGGAAUGAUGGUUAAUUGUUUAGCUGGCUAGCUAGCUACAUGUCUAAACAAAAUACCAAGUUAAAGCUUGCUGUUAGAUAGCUAGCUGACGUUAAGAUGAACUGUGUGUAGUGAUAUCUCAGAAUGCCAUUUCACAUCUAUUGUAUAAUAAUGCUAAAAUAUUUGUAUUUGAAAUGUGUCUUUUAGAAUCAGUAGAACACGCCUGACUCUCCUCCACCAGUCAUACAAGGAUAAUGGGCUAAUGCCUCCCAUCAAAAAGAGAGCUGGCAAAAGCAAACACAGGUUUAACCUGAAGUAUGAGGACUUGCAGUGAGUAGUGAACUAAGUCAACAACUACUCAGAGGAUAAUGUAUUACCAGAACGCCACCCAGGCCACAAACACUUUGGUGGAUUUCUGCUGCCAUCCCAAGUGACAAAACAGCAGUGUGGUGUCUCUACAAGGAAUCGAUGACAACAAUUGAAGCUGUUAAGUCAGCCACGCUGAAGAAGCAAGAGCAGCAUCUCCUGCUUGUUCAGAGUGAGCAGUCUUUCUACGAGAAGAUGGUUGCUGACUGUUAGACCACCUGUCAAGACCUGCAGCUGUCUCUGGGGACCCCUACUAAACCAGCAAGCGAAGACAUUAGGCAAUUCCAUUUACUGUUUACACUUAAGUAUAUUUAAAACCAAAUACUUUAACUGAAGUAGUAUUUUACUGGCCUACUUUUACUUGAGUCAUUUUCUAUUAAGUUACUUUUACUCUGACAAUUGUAGUACUUUUUCCACCACUGGAUGUGGCUGGGGGUUGUUGCAUUUCUUUCACAUGACCCAUCAAUUUAGACAAGUGUGUCUGGGUAAGUGUCAUCUAAUAUUUAUAAAAUAUUUUCAUAAAUGUAUUUUAUUUUCUAUUUACCUGGAAUUUUUCCUUAUUCUGGACUACUACCACUUUUAGUCUAUCUUUACUACACUACUCACUGUUAGACCUCACCUGUGAAUCCUUAAAGAGAUGGGUGGGGCUGGCUUAAGAGGGUGUGAAAAUGCUGAAUGGGUGUAAAGGAGAGCUCUCCAGUAGGUACCAAAAAAUUCAAGGCCCUUUUCUCAAAAGUAAGUUUACAAGUUUAUCAACUUUCAAAGCAGAAUGACUUUCCCAUUGUUCCUCAAAAUGUAGUGUAUGAUAUACCAUUUUACUACUUACCAAUGUAAAAAAAAAUAUAUAAUAAUUAAACAUUUGCUAGACAGAAUCCAGGUGGUGAGUCACAGUCACAUAUGGAAACAAUGUUCCCUUCUGACCUCAUUUGCUCUAUUCUCUUUCUGAUAUUCUGCACAGCAACAGGGACAUGUGAUAGACAAGCCUGACUUCUCCCCUCUCUGUGCCCCAGGUGACUGAGGCCCAUAUGAGGGAGGAAGUACAGCCACGAACACCAGAGUCUGAAGGGAAACAUAAACAGUCCAACAACGGAUUUAGUAUAGGAAAGGGAAAUUGUAAGAGUAGGAUGGAGGAUCCGUGCUGGGAACCAAAAGGGCCGUGUAGUGAACGGUUCAGUACCCCCCCCCCCCCCCCAUUUAUUUUGCCAAACAGAAGACUGGACUAGACAGACAGAUGGAGAUUUCCCUGCGGAUGGGACACUGAGCACAGAAAAACUGGUAUCUGUUAUCUGUAAGAGGCCAACUUGAAGAGAAAGAUUAAAGAAAAAGAGGAAGCCUGGCUGGCCUUUCUCUGAGGGGAACCCUUUCAUAGGGCCCCCCUUUGUAUCCGCCACUGCCAAAUCCUCCACCAGCAGACGGAGAUGGUGGCCUUCCACGCCCUCAUAACCCACUUGGGGGUGGGCCUGUGCCCGGUGGAGGAACCGUGGGAUCAGGAGCUGUUGGAGGAGCUGCAGAAGGAGCUGGAGCUGAAGACAGAAAGCAACCAGCCAAGACAAGAACCAGAGAAAAUGAGCAACGAGAAAAAGAGGCAGAUGAAGAGGUAGAGGAUGAGGGGCCCCUUCUGGAACUGACAGUUUGGGCAUUUCUCUCGACACUGUCCUAGAGCUGGAGAAGGUAAAGGAGAGUGGCCAUCCCCACCUGUUGGCAUGCAUGUGGAUAACCCAUUUGAAAGAGGUGGACGAAGGGACUACUAAAUAUAGGAUGAGGCGGAAACAGAAGAAAAUUAAGAAUCAGGAGACACCUGUCAAACCUAUUGACAUACUAGUUGGUAAACAUUCCAUUUUUGGUUGGCACUGGGGCCACGGUUUCAGUGUUGAAAAUAUCUACCCUGUCUGCCCCCCCCCCCCCUCAAAGAAAACAAUGCACACAGUAUGAGCAUAUGGAAUUCCCUGAAGGAUUGUCAUUGGGAUCGAGAGAAAAUUGAAUAUUUCCUUGCCUGAUGAACUGUUACUAUGUUUGUCACCGGAAUGAUCAACAUGUUGAGGGAGAGCUGAGAGAGCAGUCCCUCUCUUCCCCGUUGCAUGCUAACUGAGAAGUGUCUGAACACCUGCAUUGUACUGCUGCUGUUCCCUCAUGCGAAGAGGACCCAACAGAGAUGGUCAAAACAAAAAGAGAAAGUUGAGAUGACCAUGAAUGGGAUAUACAGAGGAGAAGACUUCGUAGCAGCUGGAGUGCUGCUGACGGAAACUAAGACGAGUCUGUUUGAAGCCCCUGGCUCUGUUCCCCAUUGUAGUUUAUCAAAAGCUCCUGACACACAAUGGAAAGAUGUGGGUGUUUGGAUGAAGAAAGUAUUGGAAGUAACUGACAUUUACUCCUGAGGGACUGACCUGUUGCAACAUCUACAACCACUGUGAUUAUUAUUUGAUUCUGCUGGUCCUCUACGAACGUUUAAACAUCUUGAAAAACAAUCUGGCCUUAAUUUCCAUGCACUCUUAUAAUCUCCACCCAUCACAGCCAGAAGAGAGAUGGCCACCCCUCAAAGCCUGGUUCCUUUCUAGGUUUCUUCCUAGGUUCCUGCCUUUCUAGGGAGUUUUUCCUAGCCACCAUGCUGUUUGGGGUUUUAGACAGGUUUCUUUAUAGCACUUUGUGACAUCUGCUGAUGUAAAAAGGACUUUAUCAAUGCAUUUGAUUGAUUGAUUGAUUGAUUGGGUGGCCUGGAAGGGAGAGGGAAAGUGGUCAACUUCCAACAGCAACUUUCUAUUCCCCAUACUGGGCUACUGCAAUGACAAUUCCAUGAAAAUAAACAAUUGAAACCAUGCCUGUAGUAUUACAAGAAAAUUCACACAUUGAUAGGCUAAAAGAUGUACCUGAAGAACUGUGGGCUAAAUCAAAGACCGACAUUGGACACAUGAAAGAAGCUGUGCCAGUUGUGGUUAGGGCUGUUAACGCCAGACUAACGCCAUACCAGCAGUAAAUCAUGACCGCUGUAAAAUUCCACGUGACCGUUGAUUCACCGUAACUAGGCUUAACAGCCAUCAAGUCACUAAUGGCCUGGUACUCAGGGCUCUAUUGUCCUUCUAAUCAAUCUGACGUCAAUGCAAAUGCAGUCGAAAAUCGAACACUUCAUGAUUGAAUUUGAAUAAUCUGCAGAGAUAGCAAUAGCAGAAACAAACAUAUUUGAAAAAUCUGGUGUAUUGACUUACCUUGAUUUAACCAUGGCUUCCCAUAUGGACAGAAAAGAGCAGAAGAUAUGAGCAGUCCCACCAGGCCCAGUUUGUCAAUAACAGGUGGAAACUGAUUCUAAAAAAACUGUCAUGGAUAUUGUUUCAAAACCAAACACAAGCACAUUUUGAAUUCAAGUCAACUGUGAAAGGUCAGCUAAUAAACCUGGAUGAAGCCAUUUGCCGAAUAUGUGAGAGGAAAAUAUUUGUUAAACUCGCAAACACCUCGAAUCUGAGAAGCCACCUUCGAAUUAACCACCGUGCAAAAUUAGCUGAACUCAGAGGAACCUCUGCCACAACAGAUUCAACAGGUGGCAGCAAAACGUGGGGCAAGGGGCAGCUGAGUUGUUGUUUAGGCGUCCUCCUGGGUGGAGAAAUACAAAAGAGACCGCAACAAAUGGCAGAGAAUAACUGACUUUAUGACUCACUACUUGGUAAGGGAAGUGGUUCCUUUUCAUACAUUUUGAAAAAGCAAUCGUUUAAAUAAUUAUUGCUGGAAAUGGACAAUCAGUAUGAGUUACCAUCGAGAGCAUUCUUUCACGAGCGGCUGUUCCCAAUAUGUAAACUCAGCAAAAAAAGAAAUGUCCUCUCACUGUCAGCUGCAUUUAAUAAUCACUACAAAGGGUGCUUCAACAAAGUACUGACUAAAGGGUCUGAACACUUUUUUUGCAAAAAAGAUCUAAAAAAACUGUUUUUGCUUUGUCAUUAUGGGGUAUUGUGUGUAGAAUGAGGCGGAGGGGUCAGUUGAAUCCAUUGUAGAAUAAGGCUGUAAAAUAAAAUGUGGAUAUAAAAAAAGCAAGGGGUGUGAAUACUUUACGAAUUCAAAAAUAUAAACCCAACAUGCAACAUGCAACAAUCAACAAUUUUACUUACUUACAGUUCAUAAAAGGAAAUCAGUCAAUUGAAAUAAAUUCAUUAGACCUUAAUCUAUGGAUUUCACAUGACUGAACAGGGGCGCAGCCAUGGGUGGGCCUAGGAGGGCAUAGGCCCAGGCCCACGCAUAGGCCCAGGGGCUGUGCCACUGUCCAGUCAUGUGAAAUAGGCCCACCCACUCAGGUCCUAGGCCCAGCCAAUCAGAAUGAGUUUUCCCUCUCAAAAGGGCUUCAUUACAGACAGAAAUACAGUACUCCUGUUUCAUCAGCUCUCCAGGUGGCUGGUCUCAGACAAUCCCACAGGUGAAGAAGCCGGAUUUGGAGAAGCCGGAUCUGGCGUAGUCACACGUGGUCUGCGGUUGUGAGGCCAGUUGGAUGUACUGCCAAAUUCUCUAAAAUGACUUUGGAUGCAACUUAUGGUAUUAAAAUGAACAUUAAAUUCUCUGUCAACAGCUCUGGUGUACAUUCCUGCAUUCACCAUGCCAAUUGCACACUAUGUCAAAACUUCAGACAUCUGUGGCAUUGUGACACAAAACUGCACAUUUUAGUGGCCUUUUGUUGUCCCCAGCACAAGGUGUACCUGUGCUUCAUAUUUUUGUUCAAUAAAUACAGUCAAUGUUGUCAUA